RNAcentral lists this ribosomal RNA (253 nucleotides) under uncultured bacterium. RNAcentral's name for it is "partial 16S ribosomal RNA". It matches the Rfam family "Bacterial small subunit ribosomal RNA", at positions 524 to 776 of the family's 1533-position model. The record is from RNAcentral.
UACGGAGGGGGCAAGCGUUGUUCGGAAUUACUGGGCGUAAAGUGUGCGCAGGCGGCGUCGCAAGUCGAGUGUGAAAGCCCCGAGCUUAACUUGGGAAUUGCGCUCGAAACUACGAUGCUGGAGUGUGGCAGAGGAAGGUGGAAUUCCACGUGUAGCGGUGAAAUGCGUAGAGAUGUGGAGGAACACCGAUGGCGAAGGCAGCCUUCUGGGCCAACACUGACGCUCAUGCACGAAAGCGUGGGGAGCAAACAGG